UGGAUCGACAUAACUAAAGUAGUUUCACAUGAAAACAUAGCGAAAGUACAUCCUGAUGAAAAGUUAAAAAAAAAGGACAAUAUGAACUUCUGUCCAUACCAAACUAUCAUCGGAUAGUUUAACGCCCAUUAGUCUCAUUCUUCAUGCGGAGCAAUCUACACAAUGCACAUUAAAUUAUUGACAAAGCAAAUAAUAACUUCAAAAAGUUCUGAAAUUUGAAGAGAAGUAUACCACUAAAUUGUUUUGAGGCACUAGCAUACGAUGUUUUUUCAUCUCUUAAAACCGAUUGUAUGAUUUUAUCAUUACUAAUGCUUCUAAAUAUCUCCUUCUCAACAUAGCAUAUCAUCAAAUCAUUGAGCUAUUCAUCCCCCAUUUUGCUGCGCAAAUCUGUCUUUAUAAGAGACAGCUGAAAAAACCCUCUCAACUGAAGCAGUUGCCACCGGAAGUAUCAAUGUGAGCUCAACAAGCCGAUAAACCAAUGGGUAAGAACUAUUCAUCGUGGUCUUGACCAUCCAUAAUUUCAGCAACCUUUGAAAGU
Molecule: long non-coding RNA, 538 nt
Filed under: Setaria italica (foxtail millet)
Lineage: Eukaryota; Viridiplantae; Streptophyta; Magnoliopsida; Poales; Poaceae
Description: long non-coding RNA (SITA_LNC001072)
Source: RNAcentral